RNAcentral lists this ribosomal RNA (272 nucleotides) under uncultured Ascomycota. RNAcentral's name for it is "partial 18S ribosomal RNA". It matches the Rfam family "Eukaryotic small subunit ribosomal RNA", at positions 548 to 827 of the family's 1831-position model. Lineage: Eukaryota; Fungi; Ascomycota. The record is from RNAcentral.
UUGGAGGGCAAGUCUGGUGCCAGCAGCCGCGGUAAUUCCAGCUCCAAUAGCGUAUAUUAAAGUUGUUGUGGUUAAAAAGCUCGUAGUUGAACCUUGGGCCUGGCUGGCCGGUCCGCCUCACCGCGUGUACUGGUCCGGCCGGGCCUUUCCCUCUGUGGAACCCCAUGCCCUUCACUGGGUGUGGCGGGGAAACNGGACUUUACUGUGAAAAAAUUAGAGUGCUCCAGGCAGGCCUAUGCUCGAAUACAUUAGCAUGGAAUAAUAGAAUAGGA